CCUACGGGAGGCAGCAGUGGGGAAUAUUGGACAAUGGGCGAAAGCCUGAUCCAGCCAUGCCGCGUGUGUGAAGAAGGUCUUCGGAUUGUAAAGCACUUUAAGUUGGGAGGAAGGGCAGUAAGUUAAUACCUUGGUGUUUUGACGUUACCAACAGAAUAAGCCCCGGCUAACUUCGUGCCAGCAGCCGCGGUAAUACGAAGGGUGCAAGCGUUAAUCGGAAUUACUGGGCGUAAAGCGCGCGUAGGUGGUUUAGCAAGUUGGAUGUGAAAGCCCCGGGCUCAACCUGGGAAUUGCAUUCAAAACUGGUGAGCUAGAGUGCGGUAGAGGGUGGUGGAAUUUCCUGUGUAGCGGUGAAAUGCGUAGAUAUAGGAAGGAACACCAGUGGCGAAGGCGACCAUCUGGACUGAUACUGACACUGAGGUGCGAAAGCG
RNAcentral lists this ribosomal RNA (431 nucleotides) under Metapseudomonas otitidis. RNAcentral's name for it is "bacterial SSU rRNA". It matches the Rfam family "Bacterial small subunit ribosomal RNA", at positions 338 to 761 of the family's 1533-position model. The record is from RNAcentral. Lineage: Bacteria; Pseudomonadati; Pseudomonadota; Gammaproteobacteria; Pseudomonadales; Pseudomonadaceae.